CCUACGGGUGGCAGCAGUGAGGAAUUUUGGUCAAUGGGCGAGAGCCUGAACCAGCCAAGUCGCGUGAAGGAUGAAGGAUCUAUGGUUUGUAAACUUCUUUUAUAUGGGAAUAAAGUGAGGAACGUGUUCCUCUUUGUAUGUACCAUAUGAAUAAGCAUCGGCUAACUCCGUGCCAGCAGCCGCGGUAAUACGGAGGCUGCGAGCGUUAUCCGGAUUUAUUGGGGUUAAAGGGUGCGCAGGCGGUGGUGCAAGUCAGCGGUCAAAUUGCGGGGCUCAACCCCGUACUGCCGUUGAAACUGCAUCCCUUGAGUGUGCGAGAGGUAUGCGGAAUGCGUGGUGUAGCGGUGAAAUGCAUAGAUAUCACGCAGAACUCCGAUUGCGAAGGCAGCAUACCGGCGCGCAACUGACGCUCAUGCACGAAAGCGUGGGUAUCGAACAGGAUUAGAUACCCCUGUAGUC
Molecule: ribosomal RNA, 459 nt
Filed under: uncultured bacterium
Lineage: Bacteria
Description: partial 16S ribosomal RNA
Rfam family: Bacterial small subunit ribosomal RNA
Source: RNAcentral